CGUUCGGCAGAGGGGCCUGCUCCGGGUCGGCGCCGCUUACCGCGGUGGGUCUCUGCGCCGUCCUGCGCCGCCCGGCUUCUUCGAGCUCCCGUCGAGCUCCCAGCUCUUCCUCAGGAGGACGCGGCCCGUCGGCAGGGCUCACGUUCUGAGGUACAACAAACUACAGAUCUGGACGCUGCCGCUUAGCAGCCGUGUGACGUCACGUGAACUCUGUAACUUCCUGGAGUCCUGGUGGCCGCAUCUGGCACAACAGAAGUAACCGUGGCACCUACCAGGAGUCGUCUCAAGGAUCUUUUUCAGAUGCAGCUGGCACAGUUUUUCAGGUCUAAUUGGCAACCUGGGGAGGCCCUUCUGGUAUCAGUGAAGUAAAGAAGGUGGUGAUAAAAGACCAAGCUGACGCCAUUAAUCCAGGCCUUUGAACUGCACUGGCAUCUUCACCUGCAUCUUCUCCACUCUCCUCUUCAAGCCCAUCAUCCAUAAGACGCUCCUUUCAAACAAAACAAGAAACAUAAUCCUCGGGGAUUUGAACAGCUAGCAUUAACUCAUGAAAGAAAGAAUUAAAUUCUUCCCUACAGAAAAGGAAUAUGAGCAUGUAAUAAGGAAAUGGUACAUAUCUGGUCAUUGUAAAGCUUUAUUAAACCCAAAAUUGAUAAAUUCCUCAGUGUUCAUGUUCAAGUGGAUAACUGCCAAUUUAAUACAAUAAAUUCUCAAAGUGUGCAUAAUUUACUUUCUAGGCUGUUUUCAGGUAGAAUAAUGUUAAUUCUUAAGUCUUUUUGGGUAUUUUUUUUUGUUUGAGUUUUUUUUUGAGAGAGAAAGAAGAGGGAAAAAGCGGAUGGUGAGGGAGAGAGAGAGAAUAGUAAGCAAGCUCCCUGCUGAGUGCAGAGCCCAAGACAAGAAUGGAUUUCAUGACACUGAGAUCAUGCCCUGAGCCAAAAUCCACAGUCGGACACUUAACCAACUGAGCCACUGAGGCACCCCUGCUUAAUUCUAAUAUAUGACUGACUCAGUAUUAUAAUCUAAGUUCUCCCAGAUAAAAUCACACAAUUUAUGUGUUAAUAUUUCUUCGUGUGCCAUUCCACAAAAACUUGUGGAACACCUCAAGAUUUUUUAUCAUGUUGGUUUCUUACAAGUGCUGAGGAACAUCUAUAUUUGAAGUAUACAAAAUACAAAACCCUCAUUAGCAUACCAUUUCUUCAAGUUCUAGGUUGUUUGCAUUUUGCCCAUCGUUGUUAACUUCGGCAUUAUUGUUGGGAGCCUGUUGCUGACCUCCUUCUUGCCUAAAAGGAAACCAUCCAGCUUGGUGUCUGUUCAGUAAAAUAAAGAAAAAAAGA
Long non-coding RNA from Canis lupus familiaris (dog), 1331 nucleotides. RefSeq lists it as uncharacterized. NCBI's taxonomy places the organism in Eukaryota, Metazoa, Chordata, Mammalia, Carnivora, Canidae. The record is from RefSeq and is a predicted model, not a curated record. The transcript is spliced from 3 exons.